Molecule: ribosomal RNA, 292 nt
Filed under: uncultured bacterium
Lineage: Bacteria
Description: partial 16S ribosomal RNA
Source: RNAcentral
GGACUACAGGGGUAUCUAAUCCUGUUUGCUCCCCUAGCUUUCGCGCCUCAGCGUCAGCAAUAGCCCAGAAAACCGUCUUCACCACUGGUGUUCUUCCACAUAUCUACGCAUUUCACCGCUACACGUGGAAUUCCGUUUUCCCUAACUACGCUCAAGCCGAGUAGUUUCAAAUGCAGCUCCGCGAUUGAGUCGCGGGAUUUCACAUCUGACUUGCUCGGCCGCCUACGCGCCCUUUACGCCCAGUAAUUCCGAUCAAUGCUUGCACCCUCCGUAUUACCGCGGCUGCUGGCAC